UCAGAGAAUAGUUUAGUGUAAAAUACCAACUUUGGGAGUUGGAGAUAGAGGUUUAAGUCCUCUUUUUCUGAG
Molecule: transfer RNA, 72 nt
Filed under: Stercorarius maccormicki (South polar skua)
Lineage: Eukaryota; Metazoa; Chordata; Aves; Charadriiformes; Stercorariidae
Description: tRNA-Pro
Rfam family: tRNA
About the family: Transfer RNA (tRNA) molecules are approximately 80 nucleotides in length.
Source: RNAcentral